Molecule: ribosomal RNA, 492 nt
Filed under: uncultured bacterium
Lineage: Bacteria
Description: partial 16S ribosomal RNA
Rfam family: Bacterial small subunit ribosomal RNA
Source: RNAcentral
AGUGAACGCUGGCGGUAGGCCUAACACAUGCAAGUCGAACGGCAGCACAGUAAGAGCUUGCUCUUACGGGUGGCGAGUGGCGGACGGGUGAGGAAUACAUCGGAAUCUACUUUUUCGUGGGGGAUAACGUAGGGAAACUUACGCUAAUACCGCAUACGACCUACGGGUGAAAGCAGGGGAUCUUCGGACCUUGCGCGAUUGAAUGAGCCGAUGUCGGAUUAGCUAGUUGGCGGGGUAAAGGCCCACCAAGGCGACGAUCCGUAGCUGGUCUGAGAGGAUGAGUAGCCACACUGGAACUGAGACACGGUCCAGACUCCUACGGGAGGCAGCAGUGGGGAAUAUUGGACAAUGGGCGCAAGCCUGAUCCAGCCAUACCGCGUGGGUGAAGAAGGCCUUCGGGUUGUAAAGCCCUUUUGUUGGGAAAGAAAAGCAGCAGGUUAAUACCCCGCUGUUCUGACGGUACCCAAAGAAUAAGCACCGGCUAACUUCGUG